CCCACGGCUCACGCCGUGGGCUACGAUCUUGCGCCCCUACCGGGGCU
This 47-nucleotide small RNA is filed under the name Acidobacteriia bacterium SbA2. RNAcentral's name for it is "Solibacteres bacterium SbA2 Acido-Lenti-1". It matches the Rfam family "Acido-Lenti-1 RNA". Lineage: Bacteria; Pseudomonadati; Acidobacteriota; Terriglobia. The record is from RNAcentral.